UACAGAGGGGGCAAGCGUUGUUCGGAAUUACUGGGCGUAAAGGGCGCGUAGGCGGCCUGCUAAGUCGAACGUGAAAUCCCCGGGCUCAACCCGGGAACUGCGUCCGAUACUGGUAGGCUUGAAUUCGGGAGAGGGAUGCGGAAUUCCAGGUGUAGCGGUGAAAUGCGUAGAUAUCUGGAGGAACACCGGUGGCGAAGGCGGCAUCCUGGACCGACAUUGACGCUGAGGCGCGAAAGCCAGGGGAGCAAACGGG
RNAcentral lists this ribosomal RNA (253 nucleotides) under uncultured bacterium. RNAcentral describes it as "partial 16S ribosomal RNA". It matches the Rfam family "Bacterial small subunit ribosomal RNA", at positions 524 to 776 of the family's 1533-position model. The record is from RNAcentral.